This 468-nucleotide ribosomal RNA is filed under the name uncultured bacterium. RNAcentral's name for it is "partial 16S ribosomal RNA". It matches the Rfam family "Bacterial small subunit ribosomal RNA", at positions 28 to 507 of the family's 1533-position model. The record is from RNAcentral.
GACGAACGCUGGCGGCGUGCUUAACACAUGCAAGUCGAACGGCAAGGCCCUGCUUUUGUGGGGUGCUCGAGUGGCGAACGGGUGAGUAACACGUGAGUAACCUGCCCUUGACUUUGGGAUAACUUCAGGAAACUGGGGCUAAUACCGGAUAGGAGCUCCUGCUGCAUGGUGGGGGUUGGAAAGUUUCGGCGGUUGGGGAUGGACUCGCGGCUUAUCAGCUUGUUGGUGGGGUAGUGGCUUACCAAGGCUUUGACGGGUAGCCGGCCUGAGAGGGUGACCGGCCACAUUGGGACUGAGAUACGGCCCAGACGCCUACGGGAGGCAGCAGUGGGGAAUAUUGCACAAUGGGCGGAAGCCUGAUGCAGCAACGCCGCGUGCGGGAUGACGGCCUUCGGGUUGUAAACCGCUUUCGCCUGUGACGAAGCGUGAGUGACGGUAAUGGGUAAAGAAGCACCGGCUAACUACGUG